GACGAACGCUGGCGGCGUGCUUAACACAUGCAAGUCGAACGGAAAGGCCCUGCUUUUGUGGGGUGCUCGAGUGGCGAACGGGUGAGUAACACGUGAGUAACCUGCCCUUGACUUUGGGAUAACUUCAGGAAACUGGGGCUAAUACCGGAUAGGAGCUCCUGCUGCAUGGUGGGGGUUGGAAAGUUUCGGCGGUUGGGGAUGGACUCGGGGCUUAUCAGCUUGUUGGGGGGGUAGUGGCUUACCAAGGCUUUGACGGGUAGCCGGCCUGAGAGGGUGACCGGCCACAUUGGGACUGAGAUACGGACCAGACUCCUACGGGAGGCAGCAGUGGGGAAUAUUGCACAAUGGGCGGAAGCCUGAUGCAGCAACGCCGCGUGCGGGAUGACGGCCUUCGGGUUGUAAACCGCUUUCGCCUGUGACGAAGCGUGAGUGACGGUAAUGGGUAAAGAAGCACCGGCUAACUACGUG
RNAcentral lists this ribosomal RNA (468 nucleotides) under uncultured bacterium. RNAcentral's name for it is "partial 16S ribosomal RNA". It matches the Rfam family "Bacterial small subunit ribosomal RNA", at positions 28 to 507 of the family's 1533-position model. The record is from RNAcentral.